CACGCCGUAAACGAUGGGUACUAGACUUGGUGAAUUUGACCUUUGCUGAGUCGGAGCUAACGCAAUAAGUACCCCGCCUGGGGAGUACGGUCGCAAGAUUAAAACUCAAAGGAAUUGACGGGGGCCCGCACAAGCGGUGGAUCAUGUGGUUUAAUUCGAAGCAACGCGAAGAACCUUACCUGGAUUUGACAUCCUCUGACAGCUCUAGAGAUAGAGUCUUUGUAGCAAUACAACAGAGAGACAGGUGC
Molecule: ribosomal RNA, 248 nt
Filed under: uncultured bacterium
Lineage: Bacteria
Description: partial 16S ribosomal RNA
Rfam family: Bacterial small subunit ribosomal RNA
Source: RNAcentral